GAUGAACGCUAGCUACAGGCUUAACACAUGCAAGUCGAGGGGAAACGACAUCGAAAGCUUGCUUUUGAUGAGCGUCGACCGGCGCACGGGUGAGUAACGCGUAUCCAACCUGCCCACCACUUGGGGCUAACCUUGCGAAAGUAAGACUAAUACCCAAUGAUAUCUCUAGAAGACAUCUGAAGGAGAUUAAAGAUUUAUCGGUGAUGGAUGGGGAUGCGUCUGAUUAGCUUGUUGGCGGGGUAACGGCCCACCAAGGCGACGAUCAGUAGGGGUUCUGAGAGGAAGGUCCCCCACAUUGGAACUGAGACACGGUCCAAACUCCUACGGGAGGCAGCAGUGAGGAAUAUUGGUCAAUGGGCGAGAGCUUGAACCAGCCAAGUAGCGUGCAGGAUGACGGCCCUAUGGGUUGUAAACUGCUUUUAUAAGGGAAUAAAGUGAGCCUCGUGAGGCUUUUUGCAUGUACCUUAUGAAUAAGGACCGGCUAAUUCCGUGCCAGCAGCCGCCGUAA
RNAcentral lists this ribosomal RNA (508 nucleotides) under uncultured bacterium. RNAcentral's name for it is "partial 16S ribosomal RNA". It matches the Rfam family "Bacterial small subunit ribosomal RNA", at positions 28 to 523 of the family's 1533-position model. The record is from RNAcentral.